AAUCUUCCGCAAUGGACGAAAGUCUGACGGAGCAACGCCGCGUGUAUGAUGAAGGUCUUCGGAUUGUAAAGUACUGUCUUUGGGGAAGAACGGUCGAUUUGUGAAUAUUGAGUCGACAUGACGGUACCCAAGGAGGAAGCCCCGGCUAACUACGUGCCACCAGCCGCGGUAAUACGUAGGGGGCAAGCGUUUUCCGGAAUCAUUGGGCGUAAAGGGCGCGUAGGCGGAUAGUUAAUUCUGGUGUGAAAGAUCAGGGUUCAACCCUGAGAGUGCACCGGAAACUGGUUAUCUUGAGGACAGGAGAGGAAAGUGGAAUUCCUAGUGUAGCGGUGAAAUGCGUAGAUAUNAGGAGGAACACCAGUGGCGAAGGCGACUUUCUGGACUGUAACUGACGCUGAGGCGCGAAAGCCUGGGGAGCAAACAGGAUUAGAUACCCUGGUAGUCCACGCUGUAAACGAUGAGUGCUAGGUGUAGAGGGUAUCGACCCCUUCUGUGCCGCAGUUAACACAAUAAGCAUUCCGCCUGGGGAGUACGGCCGCAAGGUUGAAACUCAAAGGAAUUGACGG
Molecule: ribosomal RNA, 566 nt
Filed under: uncultured bacterium
Lineage: Bacteria
Description: bacterial SSU rRNA
Rfam family: Bacterial small subunit ribosomal RNA
Source: RNAcentral